GAUGAACGCUGGCGGCGUGCCUAAUACAUGCAAGUCGAGCGAACGGACGAGAAGCUUGCUUCUCUGAUGUUAGCGGCGGACGGGCGAGUAACACGUGGAUAACCUACCUAUAAGACUGGGAUAACUUCGGGAAACCGGAGCUAAUACCGGAUGAUAUUUUGAACCGCAUGGUUCAAAAGUGAAAGACGGUCUUGCUGUCACUUAUAGAUGGAUCCGCGCUGCAUUAGCUAGUUGGUAAGGUAACGGCUUACCAAGGCAACGAUGCAUAGCCGACCUGAGAGGGUGAUCAGCCACACUGGAACUGAGACACGGUCCAGACUCCUACGGGAGGCAGCAGUAGGGAAUCUUCCGCAAUGGGCGAAAGCCUGACGGAGCAACGCCGCGUGAGUGAUGAAGGUCUUCGGAUCGUAAAACUCUGUUAUUAGGGAAGAACAUAAGUGUAAGUAACUGUGCACAUCUUGACGGUACCUAAUCAGAAAGCCACGGCUAACUACGUG
RNAcentral lists this ribosomal RNA (497 nucleotides) under uncultured bacterium. RNAcentral describes it as "partial 16S ribosomal RNA". It matches the Rfam family "Bacterial small subunit ribosomal RNA", at positions 28 to 507 of the family's 1533-position model. The record is from RNAcentral.